Molecule: unclassified non-coding RNA, 207 nt
Filed under: Hevea brasiliensis (rubber tree)
Lineage: Eukaryota; Viridiplantae; Streptophyta; Magnoliopsida; Malpighiales; Euphorbiaceae
Source: RNAcentral
AGACAGUUGAACGAGAAGAAGGCUGACAUAUAUGCGUCUGAGUGACUGAAUCUAUCUCCAUCACAACAAUGCAUAUCCGCUUCCUAUACUCCCAAACUCCUCUAAACUAUGUCCGAAUUCUUCGAAUUGUUUCUCUAGUUUCCCAAAAGAAGGCGUAGAAGAAGUUCGGAAACUUGCCAUCCCUAAUUUUUUAACAACUAUAAUAAA